Molecule: long non-coding RNA, 4013 nt
Organism: Xiphophorus maculatus (southern platyfish)
Lineage: Eukaryota; Metazoa; Chordata; Actinopteri; Cyprinodontiformes; Poeciliidae
Exons: 2
Source: RefSeq, a predicted model, not a curated record
CACACACACACACAAACCCAAGCAAGUCACUUUUUCCCCGCUUUGUGUUCGUUCUCAUGCCUUUGCCAAUCAGCUGAAGAUGUUGAUUUCACUCUCAUGAGGGCCGCUGGUGACUCACCGGCCAUGUUGAGGGGGGGAACUCCUAAAACUCUGACUGGACGCACGCUGCCAUGGCAACAGACUGCAAACCAGCUAAGCAUAAUCACAAUGUCGUUGCCACGGGCGAAACGCACGUGUAUAUUUAGGCAUGUAAGCGACGACCCGUGUAGCUUCUUCCUCCUGAUGCAUGCAGUGUUUUCCCAGGGUGUUUCAGGACGAAGGCAUGUCGCCGGUGGCAACAGAGCAGGGGACAAACGGGGGGGCAAACGGGUGCAAGUCGUUGCCUAAGUGCAAACCGAGGAGGAACAUGUUGGUAUGCAAAGGGUGGAGAGGUUGGGAGACAUUUCGCACGGCUGUGACAUCAAUUGUUAUUACUCAUGGUCACCGUUUAAUUCUCAGUGAUGUGCUCCAAAUGAGCGCGGUGACAGAUUGUCAUUUACCUCUAAGACACGUUGUACCAUUUAGAUUACAGUGAGCUACUAAAGUAAGGCGAGGCUAUAGUUUAUUUGGCGUCUCAUUUGUACUCUGCAGGUGUGUUAUCGUCUGUAUAACGAGGCAUUUCUCAGCGUUUUUUAGAGGUGGUGUCGAGCAUUUGCGGAGUUGUGGUUCCCUAAACAUCCAAGUGGAGCACGGUUGAGUUUCCUUAAUCUAAGUUGGGUGUUUUCAGAAAGGAGGACUUAGCAAUAAGCAGCUACCAGCACUUGUUUCCUGUCUAAUAUCGACUGUCACAAUAUAGUUACUAGAUUCAUAUCUACCUCGAAAGCAGUUGGUACCAGAAAUUCUUGUGACUGGCAUGAAAAGGCAGCUCAAGUACAACCAGUAAGUUCUUGUACCACGUUUUGAGAAUCCUGGGUUUGAAAAAAAGGAAUAUUUGUGUUUUAGAAUCAGCCGACCAGUUUCAGACUUAAAUGUCUACAGCAAAACUGGAAGAUGGAUGUUAACAGAUGUUCUCCAGGAAGUCCAAUUGACCCGGAAAUAUUUUCCAAAUCUGAACAGUCGAAACGUUUACUCUGUAGAUGUGCGACGGUACUUUGUAAUGGUAAAAAAAAAUUUAAAAUUCCCAGAAACUUGUGGUUGUACUUUUGCAAGAAACAGGACAGUGAGGGGGAAACUCUUUGAACUGCAGCAAAUCUUCUAUCCGUUAAAAACAAAUCAAAUGGAAAAGUAAUAAAAAAACAAACAUCUCCUUGUUCAUCGUCGGCCUGCAGGGCCGGGAGCGGAUUCCUGCGUUUCAAAUCCGACACAACUGAGGCGCGGGGGCAGAAGCCAGCAUCAUUUUUCAAUAGGUCAAACGGCUCAACAUGUGGCAAUGUCUGAGGGAAGAGAGCAGCAACACGGCGAAACCGGUCUCAUCCUUCCCCUCUGGAUGAGGGGGGGAAAGAAAAGCUGCUUAAGAACGGCAUCAAUUUCCAUAUCGGUGAAAUGCUUUGUGCUGAAAGCCGAACUAUCUACACACUUGGCAUCAUCUCUGAAGCAGAACUGCGUAGAUGGCGGGAGACGUUAGCGCGAUUUAAUGUGCUGUUGACAAGCGUCAAGGUAAUCACAUCGGGAAUCAAACGAGCCCACUGAUGGCGCUGACGGCUACUUCCGCUCCCCGCCACACGACGGAGGGCAAAACAUUCACCUCUCGUCAUUUUUCCUCCCCACAAGUCUUUGCAAAAGAUGGGGAAGAAGUUGGAGGUGCUCUGGUGCGUUUUGGCCCAAAUAGGGAGAACAGAACUCGAAACUCUCACUGCAAACACACAACGAUGGCAGCAUCAUGCUGUGGGUACACGCUUUUUCAGCAGGGACUGUUAGUCUGGUUGGUGGUAGAUGGGAAGGUAGGUGGAGAUAAAUUUCUGACGAUCCUGUUAGCGGUUUUCCUUCCAUCAGACCGAAAGGAUAGUCGUGUGUCAGAAUGGUCUAGUCAAAGUCCAGACCUAAAUUUGUGUACAAAUCUUUAGAAAGACUUGGAAACGUCUGUCUUUCAGUUAAAUGAACUCAAACUCUUUAGUUUUAAUUUAAUCCCAACAAAAGUUGCAAUAAGCUACACUGUAAAAACGUGUAGUUGUGUCUAACUUCUGAUCUUUAAGUCAAAGAAAUAUUGCAGGUUUAAGGUUUUGAACUCAAUUAUGUGAGUUUUGAAAGACAAACUUACAGCUGUGAGACGUGUUAACUUUUUCCUCAUUUUGUCGUACCUUCAAAAGUUGAGAGAGCUCAGGUUUUUAAGUGAGCAUUUAAAAAAAAAAAAAAGAACUGAAUGAGGGAGUGGGAACUAUUUCCCAGAGUGCUUUGCAUCACCUGUUUGUAUCGAAGAUGGAUGUGUGUUACAGCGACCCGCCUCUUGUGUGUUAUCGAGGCAGAUGUUUGUUGAAUCUGACUAAAAUUCAAUAAACUGCAUUUUAGACAUUUUUCUUCCAACUUACAAUAAAUAAUCAAUCUUAACUCAAUAAGGUAAUUCAGAAGGAUACAGAAAUUUAUCACGACGACUCACAAUUAAAGAUUAGUGCACUAUCAGAACUAAAAGAAAAACAAACCCCAAAACAAAAACAAUGUUUAGACUAAUUGUUUUUUGCUGAAUCAUUUUUUGAUGAACUUUUCAUUUUUGAAUUAAAACCAGAACGAUUCUCCCAUUGACUUCACUUGCAUCUCCAGCCUUCGUUGUCGAGCCAAAACCCACCUUCGGAUGUUUUGCAGUGUACUUAUUGAAGAUCUGUGCCUGUUUGGGUCGGAAACGUCAAAUCAGCGAUGGAGGCGUAACGCGCAGCGAGUACGCCGACUUCAGCCUGGAGGCGCGCUGAAUGGGAACUGGUUCCAAGUUUAAAUCCAGUUUGUAGGUAACUGCGAGUUCAUUAAGAAGUGGGCUGAAGGGGGUCGGGGCGGCACGCGCAUCAGGAACAGUUUGUUCAUUUUCAUAUGCAAAACGUCUGAAAAAGAAAAAAAAACACAAAAAAAUACCUUGGGACAUACGGAGAGUCUGAGCUCAUCAUGAGGGGAAACAUAACACCAACCGGACCCUCGGUAAGGAGAAAACACGCAGCCGGCUCAGACUUCAGACGGCUGCCUGCGUGUGGCUGCAUUCUGACCGGGUCGAAGGUCAAACGCAGAAGCCGCGAGCGUGAUUACAUAACGGAGUGGGAGCGAGAUGUACUGGAACGGAUCAUUCCGUGUCCCAGACGCCACACCUUCAAACAAUCCUUUCAACAUGCCAGCUUCAUUUUAUGGGAGGUAAUUUUGAAGACGCGCAGCCUGGAAAACCUCAGACAAACACACCAAACCGAGAUGAGUAACUCGGCCUCUGAUGCAUGGAAACAACACACGUCCCGCUUCACAAUGUGACUCAGGAUGCAGUUGGGGGGAAGGCGGGAGGAGAGAAAUAACCGAAUAUCUAUGCGGUGAGGCAUCUUGAGACCCAAACCGCUUCCAGGACGCGAUGUGAGACGGACGGCGGAGGAUUGAGGACAAAAAAGGACAAAGCAGAAUGCGGUUGGACCUGCUCGUUGCUCUGGGUGUGGGCUACCCCACCCCGCAGAGUGGAAACCUAUUGGAUGUUGAGCCAUGCCACGGCAAAGAAAGGGGAGGGCAGGAGUUUGGUCACAACAUGUCUUUAAAAUCCCAACAGAAGAAACGGACCAAUCAGGUGCCUGUAAAAGCCGUGGAGGAAAACCAAUAGGAGAGGCCAGUGGAUCAGUUACCUGACAAACCAGAGCGGCGAUGAAGUUUGACUCGCAGCCUUGCAGAGAUAUUACAACCCCCUGAACUCACUUUAUCUCACGUCUUACAACCAACUUCAUUGUAUUUAAUGGCUAUUUUGUGCCAGACUAACUUGAAAUAUUGCAUUUUUUAUUUAUUUAUUUAUUUUUUUUUACAAAGGCACAAGUCUAAACCGACAUAUGUUAUAGUAAAUUACUGAAAAUAAACCAAUUAAAAUGAAA